AUGGCUUCAAAGUUCUUCCUCCUUGCUCUUUUGGCUUUGUCGGCUUCUCAUGCUCUUGCCUCGGACCCGGGCCAGCUCCAGGAUUUCUGUGUCGCUGACAAGACAUCUCAAGUUUUUGUCAAUGGAUUCGCAUGCAAAGACCCAAAGACCGCGGUGGUAGAGGACUUCUACUUCUCUGGCCUCCACAUGGCCGGGAACACAAGCAACAAGCAAGGCUCCAUUGUGACUGCAGUUAACGUGGCACAGAUUGCUGGGCUGAACACUUUGGGCGUCUCAUUGGCUCGUGUUGAUUACGCACCCUAUGGUCAAAACCCACCACACCUUCACCCUCGUGCAACCGAGAUCCUGACAGUGUUGGAAGGCUCACUAUAUGUUGGUUUCGUGACUUCAAACCCCGAGAACAAGUUGUUCUCAAAAGUUUUGAACAAAGGGGACGUGUUUGUGUUUCCGCAAGGGCUGAUUCACUUUCAGUUCAACAUUGAAAACAACGAAGCGAUAGCCAUUGCGGCGCUGAGCAGCAAGAACCCUGGUGUGAUCACCAUAGCCAAUGCGGUCUUCGGAUCCAAGCAAACCAUCUCAGAUGAUAUCCUGGCCAAAGCCUUCCAGGUGGACAAGAACAUUGUAGACCAUAUCCAAGCUCAGUUCUAG
Molecule: ribosomal RNA, 648 nt
Filed under: Triticum aestivum (bread wheat)
Lineage: Eukaryota; Viridiplantae; Streptophyta; Magnoliopsida; Poales; Poaceae
Description: partial small subunit ribosomal RNA
Source: RNAcentral